RNAcentral lists this ribosomal RNA (468 nucleotides) under uncultured bacterium. RNAcentral describes it as "partial 16S ribosomal RNA". It matches the Rfam family "Bacterial small subunit ribosomal RNA", at positions 28 to 507 of the family's 1533-position model. The record is from RNAcentral.
GACGAACGCUGGCGGCGUGCUUAACACAUGCAAGUCGAACGGAAAGGCCCUGCUUUUGUGGGGUGCUCGAGUGGCGAACGGGUGAGUAACACGUGAGUAACCUGCCCUUGACUUUGGGAUAACUUCAGGAAACUGGGGCUAAUACCGGAUAGGAGCUCCUGCUGCAUGGUGGGGGUUGGAAAGUUUCGGCGGUUGGGGAUGGACUCGCGGCUUAUCAGCUUGUUGGUGGGGUAGUGGCUUACCAAGGCUUUGACGGGUAGCCGGCCUGAGAGGGUGACCGGCGACCUUGGGACUGAGAUACGGCCCAGACUCCUACGGGAGGCAGCAGGGGGGAAUAUUGCACAAUGGGCGGAAGCCUGAUGCAGCAACGCCGCGUGCGGGAUGACGGCCUUCGGGUUGUAAACCGCUUUCGCCUGUGACGAAGCGUGAGUGACGGUAAUGGGUAAAGAAGCACCGGCUAACUACGUG